Pelobates cultripes (western spadefoot toad) is the source of this 202-nucleotide non-coding RNA. NCBI's taxonomy places the organism in Eukaryota, Metazoa, Chordata, Amphibia, Anura, Pelobatidae. The record is from the annotation of a GenBank genome assembly.
AGGGAAUCCAUUCUAUGGGUUAUGGGGCACAGGGAAUUAAUGGGUUAUGGGGCCCAUCCAACGGGUCAUGGGGCAUAAGGAAUUCAUCAUAUGGGCCGUGGGGUAGAGCCAUUCUAUGAGCCAUGGGGCACAGGAAAUCCCUCCUACAGAUCAUUGGGCACAGGGAAUCCAUCAUAUGGGUCAUGGGGCACAGAGAAUACAU